Molecule: ribosomal RNA, 500 nt
Filed under: uncultured bacterium
Lineage: Bacteria
Description: partial 16S ribosomal RNA
Rfam family: Bacterial small subunit ribosomal RNA
Source: RNAcentral
AUUGAACGCUGGCGGCAUGCCUUACACAUGCAAGUCGAACGGCAGCACGAGAGCAAUCCUGGUGGCGAGUGGCGAACGGGUGAGUAAUAUAUCGGAACGUGCCCAGUCGUGGGGGAUAACGUAGCGAAAGCUACGCUAAUACCGCAUACGAUCUAUGGAUGAAAGCAGGGGAUCGCAAGACCUCGCGCGAUUGGAGCGGCCGAUAUCAGAUUAGCUAGUUGGUGAGGUAAAGGCUCACCAAGGCGACGAUCUGUAGCUGGUCUGAGAGGACGACCAGCCACACUGGGACUGAGACACGGCCCAGACUCCUACGGGAGGCAGCAGUGGGGAAUUUUGGACAAUGGGCGCAAGCCUGAUCCAGCAAUGCCGCGUGCAGGAUGAAGGCCUUCGGGUUGUAAACUGCUUUUGUACGGAACGAAACGGCGAACUCUAAUACAGUUUGCUAAUGACGGUACCGUAAGAAUAAGCACCGGCUAACUACGUGCCAGCAGCCGCUGUAA